UUCAACGGCCGCGGUACCCUAACCGUGCAAAGGUAGCACAAUCACUUGUUCUUUAAAUAAGGACUAGUAUGAAUGGCACCACGAAGACUAUACUGUCUCCUUUCUGAAAUCAGUGAAACUGAUCUUCCCGUGAAGAAGCGGGAAUCAUUAUAUAAGACGAGAAGACCCCAUGAAGCUUCAAAUUAAAUAUUAACUGCCACUUAAUACCACCCUAACCUAGCAGAUCUAAUUAUUAAUUUUAGGUUGGGGUGACCACGGAGUAAAACAAAACCUCCUCAAUGAAUAGGACUAAAUCCCUAUUCAAGAACAACAAUUCUAACAAUCAACACAUUGACAUAACUUGACCCAAAUUUUUGAUCAAUGAACCAAGUUACUCUGGGGAUAACAGCGCAAUCCAUUUCAAGAGCCCAUAUCGACAAAUGGGUUUACGACCUCGAUGUUGGAUCAGGGUAUCCCAGUGGUGCAGCCGCUACUAAAGGUUCGUUUGUU
This 489-nucleotide ribosomal RNA is filed under the name Arthroleptis francei (Ruo River screeching frog). RNAcentral describes it as "partial 16S ribosomal RNA". It matches the Rfam family "Bacterial large subunit ribosomal RNA", at positions 1923 to 2581 of the family's 2925-position model. Lineage: Eukaryota; Metazoa; Chordata; Amphibia; Anura; Arthroleptidae. The record is from RNAcentral.